This 506-nucleotide ribosomal RNA is filed under the name uncultured bacterium. RNAcentral describes it as "partial 16S ribosomal RNA". It matches the Rfam family "Bacterial small subunit ribosomal RNA", at positions 30 to 523 of the family's 1533-position model. The record is from RNAcentral.
AUUGAACGCUGGCGGCAGGCCUAACACAUGCAAGUCGAACGGUAACAGGAAACAGCUUGCUGUUUCGCUGACGAGUGGCGGACGGGUGAGUAAUGUCUGGGAAACUGCCUGAUGGAGGGGGAUAACUACUGGAAACGGUAGCUAAUACCGCAUAACGUCGCAAGACCAAAGAGGGGGACCUUCGGGCCUCUUGCCAUCGGAUGUGCCCAGAUGGGAUUAGCUAGUAGGUGGGGUAACGGCUCACCUAGGCGACGAUCCCUAGCUGGUCUGAGAGGAUGACCAGCCACACUGGAACUGAGACGCGGUCCAGACUCCUCCGGGAGGCAGCAGUGGGGAAUAUUGCACAAUGGGCGCAAGCCUGAUGCAGCCAUGCCGCGUGUAUGAAGAAGGCCUUCGGGUUGUAAAGUACUUUCAGCGGGGAGGAAGGGAGUAAAGUUAAUACCUUUGCUCAUUGACGUUACCCGCAGAAGAAGCACCGGCUAACUCCGUGCCAGCCGCCGCAGUAA